RNAcentral lists this ribosomal RNA (522 nucleotides) under uncultured bacterium. RNAcentral's name for it is "bacterial SSU rRNA". It matches the Rfam family "Bacterial small subunit ribosomal RNA", at positions 366 to 895 of the family's 1533-position model. The record is from RNAcentral.
GCGCAAUGGGCGAAAGCCUGACGCAGCAACGCCGCGUGGGGGAUGAUGGCCUUCGGGUUGUAAACCUCUUUCGACAGGGACGAAGCUUUCGGGUGACGGUACCUGUAGAAGAAGCACCGGCUAACUACGUGCCAGCAGCCGCGGUAAUACGUAGGGUGCGAGCGUUGUCCGGAUUUAUUGGGCGUAAAGAGCUCGUAGGCGGUUUGUCGCGUCGGCCGUGAAAACCUGCAGCUUAACUGUGGGCGUGCGGUCGAUACGGGCAGACUUGAGUUCGGCAGGGGAGACUGGAAUUCCUGGUGUAGCGGUGAAAUGCGCAGAUAUCAGGAGGAACACCGGUGGCGAAGGCGGGUCUCUGGGCCGAUACUGACGCUGAGGAGCGAAAGCAUGGGGAGCGAACAGGAUUAGAUACCCUGGUAGUCCAUGCCGUAAACGUUGGGCGCUAGGUGUGGGGAUGGGUUCCACCGUUUCCGUGCCGUAGCUAACGCAUUAAGCGCCCCGCCUGGGGAGUACGGCCGCAAGGCU